CAGUCGCCGGUAAUACGAAGGGGGCUAGCGUUGUUCGGAAUUACUGGGCGUAAAGCGCACGUAGGCGGAUAUUUAAGUCAGGGGUGAAAUCCCGCAGCUCAACUGCGGAACUGCCUUUGAUACUGGGUAUCUUGAGUAUGGAAGAGGUUAGUGGAAUUGCGAGUGUAGAGGUGAAAUUCGUAGAUAUUCGCAGGAACACCAGUGGCGAAGGCGGCUAACUGGUCCAUAACUGACGCUGAGGUGCGAAAGCGUGGGGAGCAAACAGGAUUAGAUACCCGCGUAGUCCCUGUCUCUUAUACAC
Molecule: ribosomal RNA, 301 nt
Filed under: uncultured bacterium
Lineage: Bacteria
Description: partial 16S ribosomal RNA
Rfam family: Bacterial small subunit ribosomal RNA
Source: RNAcentral